This is a long non-coding RNA of Oncorhynchus gorbuscha (pink salmon), 1062 nucleotides long. RefSeq lists it as uncharacterized. The transcript is spliced from 2 exons. Lineage: Eukaryota; Metazoa; Chordata; Actinopteri; Salmoniformes; Salmonidae. The record is from RefSeq and is a predicted model, not a curated record.
UACUUCAGUAUUCCAUAGUAACAUCUGACAAAAAUAUCUAAAGACACUGAAGCACUGAAUAAUUGUGUCAUUCUCAAAACUUUUGACCAUGACUGUAAAUAUUUAAAUAUAUAUAUAUUUACCCCAAAAACAUAUGGGGAAUUGGAAAUGAUUCAGACAACUACAUUGCUGGAAGCAACAAUCUAUCCGAAAAUAUUAAAGUUGACCCACCCCUUAAAACAAAGACAGUGAGCAAGAGAGAGAGAGUUCGAGGAGGAGGGUGGAAACUGUUUAGUCUUAUAUGAACCUUGAUCAUGUGAUAUCCUGUAUGACAGAAAAUGAAACUUAAAAGCAGACCCUCUUUCGUUUGCAUAAUGACACACCCUUGUCAUAACUUUCUCAAUAACUGUUCUAAAGAAAUCUGUUGAAUCACUCUUAUCUUCCCCGUACCCUGAGAUCAACAUCACCUAGACAACAUUAACGGCAUUUACACAACCAUGUGGGCAGAAGAUGACUUCACUCUUCCCUCUGGGGUAGUGCGACUGGGCCUAUCUGAAGCACAAGAUGGCUAUACCUACAUCAUGUACCACGGCACAACUCAGCAGGCAGCAAAUCAAAUCCUGUACACUGGUUUUCGGCAGUCUGCUGGUGGUAUGUUGGGGCGUGGAGUUUACCUCAGCCGAGACCUGGAGAAGGCAAGCAGGUACCCCCUGGUGCUUCUUGAAAAUCAGAGGGUUGUCAUCCGAGUCAAAGUCAAUGUGGGCAAGGUGAAAAGAAUUGACAAUCAGUAUCAUGCUCUGCGGACAACCUGGCAUGAGAACGGUUACGACACCGCCUGGGUUCCUCCUAACUGUGGUAUGGUGAAGAGUGGUCUAGAAGAGGACUGUGUCUGGGAUCCAAAACGCAUCACUGUCUUAGAUUUCAUCCAGCCUAAAAUACAACAGCCCCAGGGUCCUUCACGCUGGUGUGUAAUAAUAUGAAGAGAAAAUACAGUGAAUGUAUUUCAACAGUAUGUCAUUUAGACUCAUUGACUAAAACAACAGCUGAUUUUGACCAAUAAAUUGUUACAACAAUAAACUGUCA